Molecule: ribosomal RNA, 466 nt
Filed under: uncultured bacterium
Lineage: Bacteria
Description: bacterial SSU rRNA
Rfam family: Bacterial small subunit ribosomal RNA
Source: RNAcentral
CCUANGGGUGGCAGCAGUCGAGAAUAAUUCACAAUGGGGGAAACCCUGACGCAGCAACGCCGCGUGAGUGAUGAAGGCCCUUGGGUCGUAAAGCUCUGACAGAGGGAAAGAAAUGCAGAGUGGCUAAUAUCCACAUUGCUUGACGGUACCCUCAAAGGAAGCACCGGCUAACUCCGUGCCAACAGCCGCGGUAAUACGGGGGGUGCAAGCGUUGUUCGGAUUUAUUGGGCGUAAAGCGCGUGUAGGCGGUUUUAUAAGUCUGAUGUGAAAGCCCCGGGCUCAACCCGGGAAGUGCAUUGGAUACUGUAAGACUUGAAUACGGGAGAGGGCAGUGGAAUUCCUAGUGUAGGAGUGAAAUCCGUAGAUAUUAGGAGGAACACCGGUGGCGAAGGCGGCUGCCUGGACCGAUAUUGACGCUGAGACGCGAAAGCGUGGGUAGCAAACAGGAUUAGAUACCCCANUANUC